This 690-nucleotide ribosomal RNA is filed under the name Triticum aestivum (bread wheat). RNAcentral describes it as "partial small subunit ribosomal RNA". Lineage: Eukaryota; Viridiplantae; Streptophyta; Magnoliopsida; Poales; Poaceae. The record is from RNAcentral.
AUGGAGGGAAGUGCCUGGGUAUGUUACAAAACAUGGUUGAGAUCCAUCUUUCUCAUUGUGAAAGAUUGCAAUUUUUUGUUCAGAUGUGGUACAUCCUUCACUUUUACUAAACUGAAGGUGCUUACACUAGAGCAUCUGUUGGAUUUUGAGAGAUGGUGGGAAAUAAAUGAGAGGCAAGAAGAACAGAUAAUAUUUCCUCUGCUUGAGAAGUUGUUUAUUCGGCAUUGUGGAAAGUUGGUAGCAUUACCUGAAGCACCAUUGCUUGAAGAACCAUGUCGUGGAGGUAAUAGAUUGGUAUGUACACCAUUUUCUCUGCUUGAAAACUUGUUUAUUUGGUAUUGUGGAAACCUGGUAGCACUGCGUGAAUCACAGUUUGUUCAAGAACCAUCUAGUGGAAGUUAUAGAUCAGUACACUCUGCUUUUCCUGCUCUAAAGGUACUUCAUUUGAAAGACAUGGAGAGUUUUCAGAGAUGGGGUGUUGCUGUCGAAGGGGAAUCAAUAUUGUUUCCUCAGCUCGAGAAACUAUCAGUUCAGAAAUGUAAAAAGCUAGUAGAUUUACGUGAAGCACCAAAAGUCAGUGUAUUAGAAAUUAAUGAUGGCAAGCAAGAGAUAUUCCAUUGGGUAGACAGAUAUUUGUCUUCAUUGACCAAUCUGUUAUUGAAGUUAGAAUACACAGAAGUAACAUCAUAG